UUUCAGCCAUGCAAAAAGCUGGAUGGAUGCUUUUGUUUCAGUUUAUAUGCUUUAUUUCAAGUGAAUGAAAAAGGCCACUCAAACCAGAGCCCCUCUGCCUUCUGCAUGUUUUUUUCUUUAAGUCUAACAGAAUCUGUGUUCCCACAGAGCUCCACCUCCUACCAACAGCAGUGCGGUCAGUGGAGAGGAAAGAUGCUGAAAAUGAUCCCUGCGUUAUCCGGGUGCCAAAUCAAUGCAUCUCAUCCUGCCCUGCACUGAGAGCAGAGCAUUGCUGAGAGCAGGAUGGAGGAAGGUGAGGGAAGUCCUACAGGUGGGGAAGGAACACCAACAGGUCUGAAGGACCGCAGUGCCCCUGCAGCUCCCCAGGUCUCCACCUGCGACUGCCCCGUGCAAUGGGAAAUAUAACUACAUUCUGAGAACAACAGCCCCUUAGGAAGAAAAAACAAUAAGGGAAGAAAGCACGCCUUUGAAAAACAACAGCAAAGAAAAAAACCCUUCAACUAUAAAAUAAACUAAGAGCGUGGAGGGGAAAGCACUGCCUGCACGGAGGGAACGAUGUAAAAAUCCUUGGAAACAGAGCAGGGCUGCAGGUGAUGGGCUUUAUUUUGCCAAAUUCUGAGCCGUCAUUUGCUGCCAGCAGUCCCACCUCUUCCAUCCAGGAGCUGGUGACGUUGAUCGAGCUGCAGAUCAGAAGCUGUUCCCUGGAUGAGGUGGGCCGCCUGCUGCCCUCACCAUGCUCUUCCCACCCCACUGCUGCCCGCCCUGAGGUCUGCUCCAGCGCAGGGAGGUCUGGCACUCUUGAACCUGAGGUCAAAAACAAGAGGGAGGAAAAGAAUGGCCUUCAGGCCAGAGGAAGAAACCAGGGCAACCAGGCUCUUAACGUGAUAAAAGGGCUUUAUCUCAAAGCACUUAAACAAAACACACAAGCCUGAGAGAAGAGGCUCUGUCAAGUAUCCGCCCGGGACAUGGGGAAAUUGCAAAUCCCUGCAGGACAGAGGGGCUCUUUCUUCAGUGUGCAGAGCCUGGAGAUGGGGCUGGGCAGGUGAGGGGUGCUGGGGAAGGGGUGCAUGGGGGAUUUCCCGUUUGCAGUGGUGCAUGGGUACGGAUCAGACUGUGAGCAGCUGUUAGAGAGCAGAUCACGGGCACGGGGAGUGGGCAGCAGUGCUGGAGAGGGGCAGGAGAGAAUGGGAGAUGGGACAUGCAGCAGCAGGUGGGCACAGUCCCACCCCCUGUGUGUGGGGAGUCAGUGUAAAUCAGUGCCACCUCUGCACUUGGUGGGUGGAUGGGUGCAGUUUGCAGGAGUUGGAUGGGUGUAGUUUACAGGAGUUGGAGGGGAGGCUUGGUUCUUGCUGGCCCCUUACAGAACGCUGCAGGGAGGAUUGUGCCAUGGAGAGGUCUCUGGGUUGUUCCCAGGUGCAUGGGCAGGGAGCUGCACACACCAUCCCGGGUCUCUGGGCUGCAGGUCCCAGCCCAUCCCCAGCCAAUCUGCUUUCCCAAGGGGCUGAGGCAGCUGUGCUUGUGGUACCUGCUCCAAAGGGACGGGCUGUUCGCUCUGGCUCAUCUUGUCCCUCAUCCCUUUGGGGCUCAGCCCCGUCCCUCCCCAUUUCUCUGUGACACACGAUGCUUCGUGCCAGCAAUCCCUGCCUAUGAGGAGAAGCCCUGCCCUGCCUGGGCGCUGCUCUCCCUCUGGCUCCUUGUUCUUCAGCCUUUGUUUGGUACACGUCCUCGUCCCCUAUGGAUGCCCAUAGUGUCCUUUCCCUUCCAUGGCUCAGUGAGGACCACGAGGAGCUCCCAGCCAUGAAUUUCCCCCACACACCACUGCCAGGCUGUUAUUGCUGUGCGCUCCCUCCUGACUCCAUCUGUCUGCAUGGUGCUACUGCUCCGUGCCAGGAGGGCUCCGGGACCGCUGGGGUCACGGCUGCCCCAUUACGGGGCGAGAUUUAUCAUUGGCAGGUGUGCUGCGGGAUGGUAUAUUAUCCAGGAUUAUGAACUGUAACAGGAUAAUCUCUCUAAUGUAAUUCAAGCUCUCGACAUGGCUUAUGGCUCCUUAAUGUACCUCAGACUGAAGAAUUACAAGAACAUUUUCCCCCCUCCCUACCUUGUCAGCUCCUAAAUGAUUUAGGCAAUCGCCUGAAGCCAGAUCUUGGCCUCCAGUCAUAACUCAGAGCAGUUCAGUAAAUAUGAUGGGGAAGGAGUUUUCCUGCCUUGGCUCUUUCUUCCUUCCGCUGCGCUCAGCCCUCGCGGUGCUGCUGCUCUGCUCCCUGUGGAGCAUUCAGGAUGGACCCAAAGUUGGGCUGGUGGGCGCAGGGAUGCUCUGCAGGGGGAUCAUGCCUUGGUUUCAGAUCAUGGGGUUGUGCCCAUUUCAGCAUCACCUCUCUUUUUGAGUAAUGCAGCAAUUAGUGGUUUGGUAACACAUCAACCAAUGUGUGUCCAGCUUUGCUUUGUACCCCCGCUGAGCCAAGAGGAACAUUGCCCAUCUUCAUCUAAUUGGCUUUUAAUUCUGGUCAUUGCUUUGACCUUAAAGAUGUGGUUUGUGGGGCCGAUUUUGGAGCAGGUACAUCCCCACAUGGGCACCAAAAAGGUGAGCAGUGAUGGCCACCACCCCAGGGUCCCACAGCGACCAACUGGCCUCAGUCCAGCCCCCAUGAGCCCAGUGACAAAUAAACCUCGUAAAAGGAGAGGAAAAAGAGGGAGAAAAGCAGAGAUUAAGAACAGGAACUGCAGGGAUAUGGCUUCCACUCGGCGACUGACUUAAAAUAAACAUCAGAUAUGCAGAGCAGGGCUGGGAGCCUGCCAUGGCAUGGGGGAAAAAGUAAUGCAGGGAAAUGUGUGUGUCCUUUAGCACGGCCGGUUAUGGGCCUGGUUACCUGGUGCUAACGUGAGUGUGGCAGAGGUGUGAUGUGCCGAGUGGCUGCAGGGGAAGGAAAAGGGGAAUGCGUGGGAAUGUGGAAGGUGCUAGGGAGUGUGGAGCAGCCAGGAGCACUCAUCCCUGCCCCAACCCCGGCUCUGCGGGGAUGAAAAACAGAGGGAUGGAAAGCAAAGGGAUGGAAAACAAAGGGAUGGAGAGGGGGAGAUGGGCUCAGGAGGCACCCGGCUGUGGUGGGCACGGAGGCCCCGGAGCUGCAGGUGCCCCAGCAGAGCCCACAGCAGAGGAAGCAGCAGAG
RNAcentral lists this long non-coding RNA (3164 nucleotides) under Gallus gallus (chicken). RNAcentral's name for it is "lncRNA (ENSGALG00010027820.1)". The record is from RNAcentral. Lineage: Eukaryota; Metazoa; Chordata; Aves; Galliformes; Phasianidae.